This is a long non-coding RNA of Lytechinus variegatus (green sea urchin), 2856 nucleotides long. RefSeq lists it as uncharacterized. The transcript has 2 exons. The record is from RefSeq and is a predicted model, not a curated record. NCBI's taxonomy places the organism in Eukaryota, Metazoa, Echinodermata, Echinoidea, Temnopleuroida, Toxopneustidae.
AGAGAAUAUAACGGAGAGGUAUUAGUUCGCAGGUACGCACGUAAAAUGAUGUGGCAGCGGUGUAGUACAUCAUUGGUACAUUGGAAAUACAUGUGUUCUUCAUGCAAUCAGUCUCGCGCAUGCUCUGAGGUGGAAUGUGUGAACUCAGAUUUCUAUGUGAAAAUCCAAAAAGUAAUGCAUAGUCACUGACUUUUUGUGAGGUCGUUAAGAGUUUAGAAUGCUUGAUUAAACUAGGAAAUUUAUCGAAAUUUCACAAAUUCUACAUUUUUAAUUGUUUCAACGAAAAAGGGCAAUAUAAUCCAUUUUGUAAAAAAAAAUGUGUUUUACGUGUUGAACAUAGGCAGUUACAAUUGUUUUUGUGCUGCAAAAGGAGGCAUAGUCACCUGCUUUUUGGGGAGGUCUUCAAGAGUUUAAAAUGCUCGAUUUUAUAAGGAAAUUUAUCUAAAUUUGAUAAAAACGACAUUUUCAGUCAUUUUGAAUAAAUAAAAGGGGAAUCGUGAUCAAUUAAAAAUAUUGCUUAAGUACAUAGACUUACGUGUUAUAACUAACUUGUCAUGCCCAAAAGGAGGCAUAGUCACUGACUUUUUUGGGGGGUUGUGAAGAGUUUAAAAUGCAUGGUUAUAAUAGAAAAUUUAUUAAAUUUGAUAAAAUCGACAUUUCUAAUCUUUUCAAGAAAAUAAUAGGGGGAACUUAUCAAUUUUGGAAAUGGUUGUUUUACGUAUAAAACAUAUUGCGGCUACAAUGCUCAAAAGGAGGCAUAGUAACCUGCUUUUUGGUAGGUUUUCUUGGUUAUGAAGGUUGCGAGGAUGCAUCUCUAACUUCUCAACCUUGCUCUCAUCCAAAAAUCAAAAAUUAAAAAGGUAGAAUAAUAUGCGAAAUAUGACACAGGAAAAAAAUCCGUUAUCACGUGCAAUACGCACGUACCGUAGACCGUACAAAAAUCGAGCCGCUAAAUCGCUCGAUCUACUACACCUCGACCGCGAAGUAAAAUUUCUUCCAUUAAUUACUCUUUGCUGAGAGAGCUAGAGCGCGCGCAUCCCAGCUCGACUCCGUUUCUUGAUCUUCUUCUUCUAAGGUUAAGCCUGUCUUUUUCUUUUAUGCUGAAAUGUUUCUGUUACAGAUGAUGGAACUGAGAGAAGGAGAAAACAGCUUUAGUUACUUCAUCUCCAGAUGUCAUAUUGAAUAGCCUGCAGUUACUGUCCAUUUACAACUUCAUGGGUAAGCACAGAAAAGAAGCAAGAAGGGCAUAUUUGAAAAGAAGAAGAUCAGCAAUGAGAGAAACAAAAUUAGCUGGGAAUGAUUUGGAUGAUACCCAAAUGAGUCACAUGAAAAUUGAUAGCCCAGCUAAUGAAGAUAACAGCCAUUGCAUCCAAAUCAAAAUGACUGAAAAACACACCCCUUUAUUCUGUACGCCGCCAAAGUCAAAGUCAUCAUCAGCACUGCUACCAUCAUCGUCAAAGUCAUCAUCAGCACUGCUACCAUCAUCAAAUAUGUCAAAUUCAUCAGCACUGCUGCCAUCAUCAAAUACGUCGAAUUCAUCAGCACUGCUACCAUCGUCAUCAAAUACGUUGAAGUCAUCAGCGCUGCUACCAUCAUCGUCAAAUACAUCUAAGUCAUCAGCACUGCUAGCAUCGUCGUCAAAUACGUCAAAGUCAUCAGCACUGCUACCAUCAUUGUCAAAUACAUCUACAUGUAAGUCAUCAGCACUGCUAUCAUCAUCAUCAAUGUCAUCAUCUUCAACAGUUGCACUUUUAAGAAGAUGUAUUCCAAGGAAAGUGCUAAAUGACUGUCUUUUCACAAAGUGGAAUGAGUACAGACUGUUAUAGAAACAGUUUACUCUAAUCAAAAGACGCCUAAAUGUUAUAGAGCAUGGAGAGGGGGGUGGAAGUUUAAAUUGAUUGGUACUUGAUGUGAAAUAAACAACAUUGAUUGCUUAAGGCAAGUACAUGUACAUGUAUAAGGGGCUAAAUUUAAUUGGUCUGGGAUGUUGAAUAUGUCUAUAAAUGUAGUAGCCUAUUUUACAGCAAUACUGCAAAACUAGAGCAAACUGAUGCAAUACCGGCUAUCUUGAGCACUGACCAUAGAUGAAUUAGGCUUUAGCCUAUUGCAUUUGUAGGCCUACAGUAUUCUAUUGGGCUGGUGAUUAUCUACUGUAGUUGGUCUUACAGUAGACCAGGUUAGAAUUUGAAAGAUGUUGUUGAUGCCUUGAUAUCAAAAUCAUGUGACAGCGAACAUCCUGUUAUCAUUUUUUUUCUUUGAAUUUGGGACACUGUAAUAGUGUAGUUACAUGUAUAUAAACGCUUAUCUUAAAAUGGGAUUUUGAAUGAGUACGAAGAUGUAUGCAAGAAGAUAAAAGGUACAUGUAUUAUCAUCCCUUUCAAAAUACUUGAUGUUCAUCAGUUACAUGUAAUCUUCCAAUAUAGAAAGCGGUGUGUAAUUCCAUGAUUCUUAAUCCUUUAGUUUGGUCAGAAAAUAUGAUUUUUAAAAAACAAUUAUUAGACUUAUAUUUUGCUAAAAUGCUGUCCCCCAUAAUGUUCUGUUCUUUGCCUAUAAGCUCAGAUUUUGAAGUUAGAGAAGUGAAGUAUGCAAUUUCACUCGGGUCAAAAGGACAUUUUAUUUUUAAGAAUCCAAAUUUGAAAAAUUAAUGAUUCCUGAUUGAGUAUUAAAUUGAGAGAGUACAGGCAUGUAUACAUUCCAAUCGCAGUAACAUCCUUACAGGAAAUUGACCUUGACUGAAGGAAUGUACUCAAAUACAGCCAAAAGGGGCAUGAUUAAAAAAUGACCCAGUUCUAUUUAGCAUGGUAUAAUACACUGUUUGGUUUCCUUUUUGUGUACUUGGGUAAAUUGAGAGCUGGU